CCGGCUUCUCGUAGCCCUCCUCUUCUUGCCCCUCAUUACUUGGCCUCCCAUAACUAGGCCUCCUCGGUGGCUCCUCCACCUCCGGACUCUCGUAGCUCGGCCUCCCAUACUGUGGCUUCCUGGGGGACCCUUCCCCACCAUAACCAUACCCGCCACCUUGUUCCUCUCCGAAGCUAGGUUUCCGACCGUACCCAGAUCCAUAUUCAGAACUCGGUGCUUCGUACUCAGGCCUCCGACCAUACCCAGAUCCAUACUCCGAACUGGGCUGCUCGAACUCGGGCCUCCGACCAUACCCAGAUCCAUACUCCGAACUAGGUUGCUCGUAUUCAGGCUUCCGACCGUACCCAGAUCCAUAUUCCGUGCUAGGCUGUUCGUAUUCAGGCUUCCGACCGUACCCAGAUCCAUAUUCCGAGCUAGGCUGUUCGUAUUCAGGCUUCCGACCGUACCCAGAUCCAUAUUCCGAGCUAGGCUGUUCGUAUUCAGGCUUCCGACCGUAGCCAGAUCCAUAUUCCGAGCUAGGCUGUUCGCAUUCAGGCUUCCGACCGUACCCGGAUCCGUACUCCGAACUGGGUUCCUCGUAAUCAGGCUUCCGCCCAUGCCCAGAUCCAUACUCACCCUCCCCACCAAAACUCGACGGCGGCUUCGGCUGAUACCCAUACUCACCACCAUCACCACUGCCUCCGAACCCUCCUUGGCCAGGAGGUGGUCCGGC
Molecule: long non-coding RNA, 712 nt
Filed under: Vitis vinifera (wine grape)
Lineage: Eukaryota; Viridiplantae; Streptophyta; Magnoliopsida; Vitales; Vitaceae
Description: long non-coding RNA (VVIN_LNC004905)
Source: RNAcentral